GCCGGGGAGGUGGAGCGUGAGCGCGUGCGAUAGGACCCGAAAGAUGGUGAACUAUGC
Molecule: ribosomal RNA, 57 nt
Filed under: Citharus linguatula
Lineage: Eukaryota; Metazoa; Chordata; Actinopteri; Pleuronectiformes; Citharidae
Description: partial 28S ribosomal RNA
Source: RNAcentral